RNAcentral lists this ribosomal RNA (369 nucleotides) under uncultured bacterium. Its description in RNAcentral is "bacterial SSU rRNA". It matches the Rfam family "Bacterial small subunit ribosomal RNA", at positions 29 to 427 of the family's 1533-position model. The record is from RNAcentral.
AACGAACGCUGGCGGCAGGCCUAACACAUGCAAGUCGAACGCUCCGCAAGGGGAGUGGCGCACGGGUGAGUAACACGUGGGAACCUACCUUCUGGUACGGAACAACCAAGGGAAACUUUGGCUAAGACCGUAUACGACCUCCGGGUGAAAGAUUGAUCGCCGGAAGAGGGGCCCGCGUCCGAUUAGGUAGUUGGUGAGGUAACGGCUCACCAAGCCUUCGAUCGGUAGCUGGUCUGAGAGGAUGACCAGCCACACUGGGACUGAGACACGGCCCACGACUCCUACGGGAGGCAGCAGUGGGGAAUAUUGGACAAUGGGCGCAAGCCUGAUCCAGCCAUGCCGCGUGAGUGAUGAAGGCCUUCGGUUGUU